Molecule: long non-coding RNA, 865 nt
Filed under: Homo sapiens (human)
Lineage: Eukaryota; Metazoa; Chordata; Mammalia; Primates; Hominidae
Description: HSALNT0393765
Source: RNAcentral
GCAGGCUGCAGGUUAGAGGCAGAAGGAGGUAGCAGCGGGCCCGGCGGCAGCCAGGUGGCAGAAAGGAGCACGCAGCAUCCAGGUGGGGGGACGACUCCAGCAGGGUUUCCAUGGAGAUUCCUCUGGGUCUAGCCUAAAAACAGCAGAUCAGCUGACACCAUUAGCUCAGGACCUAAUUACUGCUUAUUGGAGCAACAAAUGAGGGAAAGGGCCAGCUGCAAAGGAAGAGUUUUUAUCCCCCCACCCCAUUCCCCCAUCUCCUUUCUCCCCCUCUCUCCAUCCCUCUUGAGUCCCGGGUGAAUUCUCAUUAACUUGCAAGAUUCCUGCAACAACAGCUCCCCUUCUCCAGAGGCCACCCCGACUGCUUUUAUUCUUUUAUUUCCUUCUUUUGUAUUAAAAAGAAAUGCUAAAAUAAAUCAGUUGUUGAGUCCUUGAAUUUUUGUUCAAUACGUAUUAGACCAUAGAGCUCAGAGAAGACACUGUCCAAUGAAGUCACAAGUGAAUCUAAUACAAGGGACUCAGGGGAAAAAUAUCACUUUCAAUUUAUUGAGGUGAAUCUUUAGAUAUUUCACAUUAAAAAAAUCUUAAUAUCUUAAAUACAUAAAUAUUUGAAACACGCAAUUGGACAGAAGAUAUCCUGAACCACCCUUCUAGUGGGGUAUACUUCACAGGAGCAACUCUGUUAAGUUUCCCUUUGUGGCAUCAGAGCUCAAUUUAGUUAGAUAUUGGUCAUGUGUUUCCUGGAAGUUUCUGGAAAGAUAAUUGGUCCUGGGGUAGUCAUUCAAGAAUAAGCUGGUUCUAUAGAAUUCACUUUCUCAUAUGGUUAUAGUUCACAAUUAUAGAACUAUUUUAUGCAGCUUUUCAU